Molecule: ribosomal RNA, 491 nt
Filed under: uncultured soil bacterium
Lineage: Bacteria
Description: bacterial SSU rRNA
Rfam family: Bacterial small subunit ribosomal RNA
Source: RNAcentral
AGAUUGAACGCUGGCGGCAGGCCUAACACAUGCAAGUCGAGCGGUAGAGAGGUGCUUGCAUCUCUUGAGAGCGGCGGACGGGUGAGUAAUGCCUAGGAAUCUGCCUUGUGGUGGGGGAUAACGUUCGGAAACGGACGCUAAUACCGCAUACGUCCUACGGGAGAAAGCGGGGGACCUUCGGGCCUCGCGCCAUUAGAUGAGCCUAGGUCGGAUUAGCUAGUUGGUGAGGUAAUGGCUCACCAAGGCGACGAUCCGUAACUGGUCUGAGAGGAUGAUCAGUCACACUGGAACUGAGACACGGUCCAGACUCCUACGGGAGGCAGCAGUGGGAAUAUUGGACAAUGGGCGAAAGCCUGAUCCAGCCAUGCCGCGUGUGUGAAGAAGGUCUUCGGAUUGUAAAGCACUUUAAGUUGGAGAAGGUUGUAACCUAAUACGUUGCAACUUUGACGUUACGACAGAAUAAGCACCGGCUAACUCGUGCCAGCAGCCGA